This 253-nucleotide ribosomal RNA is filed under the name uncultured bacterium. Its description in RNAcentral is "partial 16S ribosomal RNA". It matches the Rfam family "Bacterial small subunit ribosomal RNA", at positions 524 to 776 of the family's 1533-position model. The record is from RNAcentral.
UACGUAGGGUGCAAGCGUUGUCCGGAAUUAUUGGGCGUAAAGAGCUCGUAGGCGGUUUGUCGCGUCUGCUGUGAAAACUCGGGGCUUAACUCCGGGCCUGCAGUGGGUACGGGCAGACUAGAGUGCGGUAGGGGAGACUGGAAUUCCUGGUGUAGCGGUGAAAUGCGCAGAUAUCAGGAGGAACACCGAUGGCGAAGGCAGGUCUCUGGGCCGGUACUGACGCUGAGACGCGAAAGCGUGGGGAGCGAACAGG